RNAcentral lists this ribosomal RNA (250 nucleotides) under uncultured bacterium. RNAcentral describes it as "partial 16S ribosomal RNA". It matches the Rfam family "Bacterial small subunit ribosomal RNA", at positions 524 to 773 of the family's 1533-position model. The record is from RNAcentral. RNAcentral also lists the same sequence under 1 other name.
UACGGAAGGUCCGGGCGUUAUCCGGAUUUAUUGGGUUUAAAGGGAGCGUAGGCUGUCUAUUAAGCGUGUUGUGAAAUAUACCGGCUCAACCGGUGGCUUGCAGCGCGAACUGGUCGACUUGAGUAUGCAGGAAGUAGGCGGAAUUCAUGGUGUAGCGGUGAAAUGCUUAGAUAUCAUGACGAACUCCGAUUGCGCAGGCAGCUUACUGUAGCAUAACUGACGCUGAUGCUCGAAAGUGCGGGUAUCAAAC